RNAcentral lists this ribosomal RNA (1513 nucleotides) under metagenome. RNAcentral's name for it is "bacterial SSU rRNA". It matches the Rfam family "Bacterial small subunit ribosomal RNA". The record is from RNAcentral.
AGAGUUUGAUCCUGGCUCAGAGUGAACGCUAGCGGCGUGGUUAAGACAUGCAAGUCGAGCGGGAUCAUGUUCAUUGAAGCUUCGGUUGAUUUGAGCAUGUGAGAGCAGCAAACGGGUGCGUAACACGUAAGCAACCUACCCUGAAGCGGGGGAUAGCCUACCGAAAGGUGGGAUAAUACCGCAUGUGGAAGCAUAACUCAUGUUAUGCUCUCUAAAGUUUGAAAUGACACUUCAGGAGGGGCUUGCGGCCUAUCAGCUUGUUGGUGAGGUAACGGCUCACCAAGGCUAAGACGGGUAGCUGGUCUGAGAGGAUGAUCAGCCACACUGGGACUGAGAUACGGCCCAGACACCUACGGGUGGCAGCAGUUUCGAAUCAUUCACAAUGGGCGCAAGCCUGAUGGUGCAACGCCGCGUGGGGGAUGACGGCCUUCGGGUUGUAAACCCCUGUCACCGAGGAACAAAAAACAGGUUCAUAGCCUGUCUUGAGUUAACUCGGAGAGGAAGAGGUGGCUAACUCCGUGCCAGCAGCCGCGGUAAUACGGAGACCUCGAGCGUUACUCGGAUUUACUGGGCGUAAAGGGUGUGUAGGUUGUCGUAUAUGUCGGAUGUGAAAUCCCGGGGCUUAACUCCGGAACUGCGUUCGAAACUAUACGACUAGAGACUCGGAGGGGUGAGCGGAAUUCCAGGUGUAGCGGUGAAAUGCGUAGAUAUCUGGAGGAACACCAAUGGCGAAGGCAGCUCACUGGACGAGAUCUGACACUCAAGCACGAAAGCGUGGGGAGCAAAAGGGAUUAGAUACCCCUGUAGUCCACGCCGUAAACUUUGUACACUAGGUUUUGGCUGAUUCGACCCGGUCAGAGCCUAAGCUAACGUGAUAAGUGUACCGCCUGAGGACUACGGCCGCAAGGCUAAAACUCAAAAUUGACGGGGGCCCGCACAAGCGGUGGAGCAUGUGGCUUAAUUCGAUGCAACGCGAAGAACCUUACCUAGCCUUGACAUGAUAGGAUCAACCGGUGAAAGCCGGGGCUUGCCUUCGGGUGUAACUAUCACAGGUGCUGCAUGGCUGUCGUCAGCUCGUGUCGUGAGAUGUUCGGUUAAGUCCGGCAACGAGCGCAACCCUCGCCUUUAGUUGCCAGCGGGUAAUGCCGGGGACUCUAAAGGGACAAACCUCUAUUCGAGGUGGGAAGGUGGGGAUGAUGUCAAGUCAGUAUGGCCCUUAUGGCUAGGGCUGCACACGUGCUACAAUGCCUGGUACAAUGGGACGCAAUACCGCGAGGUGGAGCAAACCCUCAAAAUCAGGCCCAGUUCGGAUUGGAGUCUGCAACUCGACUCCAUGAAGCUGGAAUCGCUAGUAAAGGCGCAUCAGCAACGGCGCCUUGAAUACGUUCCCGGGCCUUGUACACACCGCCCGUCAAGUCAUGAAAGCCGGUUUUACCCAACGUGCGUGAGCUAACCGCAAGGAGGCAGCGCCCUAAGGUGAGGCUGGUGAUUGGGACUAAGUCGUAACAAGGUA